UACAGAGGUCCCGAGCGUUGUUCGGAUUCACUGGGCGUAAAGGGUGCGUAGGUGGUGAGGUAAGUCGGAUGUGAAAUCUCCGAGCUCAACUCGGAAAUGGCAUUGGAAACUACCUUGCUUGAGGGUUGGAGGGGGGACUGGAAUACUUGGUGUAGCAGUGAAAUGCGCAGAUAUCAGGAGGAACACCGGUGGCGAAGGCGGAUCUCUGGGCCAUUACUGACGCUGAGGAGCGAAAGCGUGGGGAGCGAACAGG
This 253-nucleotide ribosomal RNA is filed under the name uncultured bacterium. RNAcentral's name for it is "partial 16S ribosomal RNA". It matches the Rfam family "Bacterial small subunit ribosomal RNA", at positions 524 to 776 of the family's 1533-position model. The record is from RNAcentral.